RNAcentral lists this unclassified non-coding RNA (350 nucleotides) under plant metagenome. RNAcentral's name for it is "partial contains 5.8S ribosomal RNA, internal transcribed spacer 2, and large subunit ribosomal RNA". The stretch from base 1 to 105 matches the Rfam family "5.8S ribosomal RNA", at positions 50 to 154 of the family's 154-position model. The record is from RNAcentral.
GAAAUGCGAUAAGUAAUGUGAAUUGCAGAAUUCAGUGAAUCAUCGAAUCUUUGAACGCACCUUGCGCUCCUUGGUAUUCCGAGGAGCAUGCCUGUUUGAGUGUCAUGGAAUUCUCAACUCUAUUUGCUUUUGUGAAUAGAGCUUGGAUUUGGAGGUUUAUUGCUGGUACUUGUGAUCGGCUCCUCUUGAAUGAAUUAGCUCGAACCUUUGCGGAUCAGCUAUCGGUGUGAUAAUUGUCUACGCCGUUGCAGUGAAGCAUAUCAAUGGGCUCGGCUUCCAAUCGUCCUUUACUGGACAAUGACUUUGACCUUUGACCUCAAAUCAGGUAGGAUUACCCGCUGAACUUAAGC